GGAGUUGUGGCUCAGUGGCAGAGCACUUGCCUCACAUGUGUGUGUGAGGCACUGGGUUUCAUUCCCAGCACCUCAU
Molecule: transfer RNA, 76 nt
Filed under: Ictidomys tridecemlineatus (thirteen-lined ground squirrel)
Lineage: Eukaryota; Metazoa; Chordata; Mammalia; Rodentia; Sciuridae
Description: Spermophilus tridecemlineatus (thirteen-lined ground squirrel) tRNA
Rfam family: tRNA
About the family: Transfer RNA (tRNA) molecules are approximately 80 nucleotides in length. Their secondary structure includes four short double-helical elements and three loops (D, anti-codon, and T loops).
Source: Rfam by way of RNAcentral